GGUGCAUGGCCAGGAGAGGAUGGAAGGAAACAUAUUCAGAAUCUGGAGGGAGAGGAACAUAUCCCUGUCUCAGUUUGACAGUCACAAAGUUGGAAAUGCAGUCGUGGAGCCCGGAAUGCAAAUGUUCCCAGCUUCUCACUUUGUACCUACAAGCACAUUUCUGUGCCACCGUGCGAGCCUUCCUCCUCCAGAACCUUCUGGGGGAGUCAGAGACCGUCACACCUGCCCCCGGCGAUUGUGAAUGUGAGCAUUAA
Molecule: long non-coding RNA, 254 nt
Filed under: Mustela putorius furo (domestic ferret)
Lineage: Eukaryota; Metazoa; Chordata; Mammalia; Carnivora; Mustelidae
Description: lncRNA (ENSMPUG00000026080.1)
Source: RNAcentral